UACGUAGGGUCCAAGCGUUGUCCGGAUUUAUUGGGCGUAAAGAGCUCGUAGGCGGUUCCGUAAGUCGGAUGUGAAAACUCAGGGCUCAACCCGGAGACGCCAUCCGAUACUGCGGUGACUGGAGUCUGGUAGGGGAUCACGGAAUACCUGGUGUAGCGGUGAAAUGCGCAGAUAUCAGGUGGAACACCGAUGGCGAAGGCAGUGAUCUGGGCCAGUACUGACACUGAGGCGCGAAAGCGUGGGGAGCGAACAGG
Molecule: ribosomal RNA, 254 nt
Filed under: uncultured bacterium
Lineage: Bacteria
Description: partial 16S ribosomal RNA
Rfam family: Bacterial small subunit ribosomal RNA
Source: RNAcentral